RNAcentral lists this unclassified non-coding RNA (214 nucleotides) under Hevea brasiliensis (rubber tree). The record is from RNAcentral. Lineage: Eukaryota; Viridiplantae; Streptophyta; Magnoliopsida; Malpighiales; Euphorbiaceae.
CACUCUACGAGCAAUGAGAUUAAGCUUUGGAUUUCUCAAAAAAAAAAAAAAAAGGUUUGGACGGCAAACAGCAGUGGCAAAAGCGUAGUUAACUGAAAUUGGAGGGGCUGUUGAUCUCAUACCAUACAAGUGCAAAGCUAAUAAGAAAGAGGNGCAAAGCUAAUCGGAAAGAGGGGUGUAUUUCAUCUCUCUUCUCAAAAGUCUCUCUCCUUCC